This is a long non-coding RNA of Equus caballus (horse), 336 nucleotides long. RefSeq lists it as uncharacterized. Lineage: Eukaryota; Metazoa; Chordata; Mammalia; Perissodactyla; Equidae. The record is from RefSeq and is a predicted model, not a curated record.
CAAUAAACAAACGCGCACAUUAACUGCUAACGCUGGCUGACAUUUGUAGAGCAUUUCACAGUUUACAAAGGUCUUCCACAUGAAUUGCCUCAUAUGAUCCUCACAGCUACCCCUGUAAGGAAGAAGACGACUGAGGCCCCUAAGGGAUGGCAGAGCCAGCAGUGGAAGGAACCAGAGUCCCAGAAUCACCAUGUGGAAGAAGCUACCUCCACUGAGGAACAUUCUUCUUUGAUACAAGAGCAAUGAACAAACUUCUGGGGGGUUAAGUUGCCGGAAACUGAGGGUUCAUUUGUUACAGUAACUAGCACUGUAUUAACUAAUACAGGAGUACACACA